UGGGGAAUCUUCCGCAAUGGACGAAGGUCUGACGGAGCAACGCCGCGUGAGUGAAGAAGGUUUUCGGAUCGUAAAACUCUGUCUUUUGGGGGCGAACGUGAGUAUGGUGAACAACCAUAGUCAGUGACGGUACCAAAGGAGGAAGCCACGGCUAACUACGUGCCAGCAGCCGCGGUAAUACGUAGGUGGCAAGCGUUGUCCGGAAUUAUUGGGCGUAAAGAGCGCAUAGGCGGGAUAGUCAGUCUGUUGUAAAAGUGCGGGGCUCAACCCCGUGAUGGCAAUGGAAACAGCUAUUCUUGAGUGCAGGAGAGGAAAGUGGAAUUCCCAGUGUAGCGGUGAAAUGCGUAGAUAUUGGGAGGAACACCAGUGGCGAAGGCGACUUUCUGGACUGUGUCUGACGCUGAGGCGCGAAAGCCAGGGGAGCGAACGGGAUUAGAUACCCCCGGUAGUCCUGGCCGUAAACGAUGGGUACUAGGUGUGGGAGGUAUCGACCCCCUUCCGUGCCGGAGUUAACGCAAUAAGUACCCCCGCCUGGGGAGUACGGUCGCAAGACUGAAACUCAAAGGAAUUGACGGGGUCAUAGCUG
This 586-nucleotide ribosomal RNA is filed under the name uncultured bacterium. RNAcentral describes it as "partial 16S ribosomal RNA". It matches the Rfam family "Bacterial small subunit ribosomal RNA", at positions 355 to 932 of the family's 1533-position model. The record is from RNAcentral.